GCAAUAUAUAACCAUUAUGGUGAAACUCAACCGUCGUCUUCCUGUCCUCUAAAGGCCUUUCUCGUGAAUGUAUUGAGUGUAAUAAAUAAAUAAAUAAAUAAAGAGCAUUAGUUAGUUGAGAGGUGACGGUGUGUACUGGAAAAGGAGGAUGUUUGUGAAUGAUGUGGAAGACCGGAUGUGAGCGAGUGUGGUGUGUGUAGUGGUGUGUGUCCUGCUGUUGAAUUGAAACCGUUGGACAGACACUUUGCUUUCGUGUGCCGAUCGCACAGCAAAGCAUUUUCCUUUUUCCAAACACACAGUUCU
Rhinichthys klamathensis goyatoka is the source of this 303-nucleotide long non-coding RNA. RefSeq lists it as uncharacterized. Lineage: Eukaryota; Metazoa; Chordata; Actinopteri; Cypriniformes; Leuciscidae. The transcript is spliced from 3 exons. The record is from RefSeq and is a predicted model, not a curated record.